Molecule: ribosomal RNA, 464 nt
Filed under: uncultured bacterium
Lineage: Bacteria
Description: partial 16S ribosomal RNA
Rfam family: Bacterial small subunit ribosomal RNA
Source: RNAcentral
CCUACGGGGGGCAGCAGUAGGGAAUGUUCGUCAAUGGGCGCAAGCCUGAACGAGCAAUGCCGCGUGAACGAGGAAGGUCUUCGGAUCGUAAAGUUCUGUUGAAGGGGAAAAAGAGCGGAGAGAGGAAAUGAACUCCGAUGGAGAUUACCCUUCGAGGAAGGCACGGCUAACUACGUGCCAGCAGCCGCGGUAAUACGUAGGUGGCGAGCGUUAGCCGGAAUGAUUGGGCGUAAAGGGUGCGUAGGCGGCCUGCUAAGUCUGGCGUGAAAGGGACCGGCUCAACCGGGAGAGGCUCUGGAAACUGGCGGGCUAGCGCGCAGGAGAGGGCGGUGGCACUCCAUGUGUAGCGGUCAAAUGCGUAGAUAUCUGGAAGACCACCAGUGGCGAAGGCGGCCGCCUGGCCUGUUCCUGACGCUGAGGCACGAACGCGUGGGGAGCACAUAGGAUUAGAUACCCUGGUAGUC